AUGUAAGUUUGUAAUAGUUUCCCCGAUAAGAGUAAUGUAUGUGCCUCAGUCUGACGCUGCUGCAAACGAAAUGAAGCGUACUCCAUGGACUGGUCUCAAAGAACCUAUUCUGUGAUGGUUUUGUCCAUUUAGACAGAAACAAUAAGGCCCACCUCCAUUAUUGUAUGUAUUGUCAAUUGUCCCGCCUGAGGAAGUAAAUGCAAAGAUUGAGUUAUAACUUCUGAUAUUUUCUUUAAAUUUAUUGCUUCUGCUAUCCUGACCGGUUAACAGAUUCCAGAGAAAGGUGGGAGGAUGCGUGAGGAGAGGAAAUUUGACAGAGCCUUUUCGACAGCAUAAUGAGAAAGCUGGAUUUUCAGACCUAGAAGUACACAACAAAUAGCAAUGUUAUACAACAAAUGACAAUAUCAAUGUCAACA
Asparagus officinalis (garden asparagus) is the source of this 416-nucleotide long non-coding RNA. RefSeq lists it as uncharacterized. The transcript has 3 exons. The record is from RefSeq and is a predicted model, not a curated record. NCBI's taxonomy places the organism in Eukaryota, Viridiplantae, Streptophyta, Magnoliopsida, Asparagales, Asparagaceae.